RNAcentral lists this ribosomal RNA (426 nucleotides) under uncultured bacterium. RNAcentral describes it as "bacterial SSU rRNA". It matches the Rfam family "Bacterial small subunit ribosomal RNA", at positions 356 to 773 of the family's 1533-position model. The record is from RNAcentral.
AGGGAAUUUUCCACAAUGGGCGAAAGCCUGAUGGAGCAACGCCGCGUGAGGGAUGAAGCAUUUCGGUGUGUAAACCUCUUUGGAGCGGGAAGAAUGCCGUUUGGGUGAACAGUCCAGACGGGUGACGGUACCGCUAGAACAAGACACGGCUAACUUCGUGCCAGCAGCCGCGGUAAUACGAAGGUGUCAAACGUUGUCCGGAAUUAUUGGGCGUAAAGGGCGCGUAGGCGGCCAGGUAAGUGAGAUGUGAAAGCUCUGGGCUCAACCCAGGAAUUGCAUUUCAUACUGCUUGGCUUGAGUUCGGUAGAGGAGGGCGGAAUUCCAGAAGUAGCGGUGAAAUGCGUAGAUCUCUGGAGGAACACCCGUGGCGAAGGCGGCUCUCUGGUCCGAUACUGACGCUGAGGCGCGAAAGGUAGGGGAGCAAAC